GUGGGAGGGGGCUUGCCCCCGAUGGCGGUGGGUCAGUUAGAACACCUUUGCCUGACCUGCCGCUAUCGGGGGCAAGCCCCCUCCCAC
This 87-nucleotide unclassified non-coding RNA is filed under the name Pseudomonas orientalis. The record is from RNAcentral. Lineage: Bacteria; Pseudomonadati; Pseudomonadota; Gammaproteobacteria; Pseudomonadales; Pseudomonadaceae.